This 488-nucleotide ribosomal RNA is filed under the name uncultured Serinibacter sp. RNAcentral's name for it is "bacterial SSU rRNA". It matches the Rfam family "Bacterial small subunit ribosomal RNA", at positions 8 to 507 of the family's 1533-position model. Lineage: Bacteria; Bacillati; Actinomycetota; Actinomycetes; Micrococcales; Beutenbergiaceae. The record is from RNAcentral.
AGAGUUUGAUCCUGGCUCAGGACGAACGCUGGCGGCGUGCUUUACACAUGCAAGUCGAACGAUGAUGGGGUGCUUGCAUCCUUGAUUAGUGGCGAACGGGUGAGUAACACGUGAGUAACCUGCCCCAGACUCUGGGAUAACUCCGGGAAACCGGGGCUAAUACUGGAUAUCACUUCCUGAUGCAUGUCGGGUUGUUGAAAGGGUUUCUGGUCUGGGAUGGGCUCGCGGCCUAUCAGCUUGUUGGUGGGGUGAAGGCCUACCAAGGCGAUGACGGGUAGCCGGCCUGAGAGGGUGACCGGCCACACUGGGACUGAGACACGGCCCAGACUCCUACGGGAGGCAGCAGUGGGGAAUAUUGCACAAUGGGCGAAAGCCUGAUGCAGCGACGCCGCGUGAGGGAUGACGGCCUUCGGGUUGUAAACCUCUUUCAGUAGGGAAGAAGCUUUCGGGUGACGGUACCCGCAGAAGAAGCGCCGGCUAACUACGUG